AGGCUGCAGUCAUGAAUAUUCCACAAUGCACGAAAGUGUGAUGGAGCGACGCCGCGUGCAGGAAGACGCCUUUCGAGGUGUAAACUGCUUUUAUCGAGGACGAAUUAGUGACGGUACUCGAAGAAUAAGAGGGUGCUAACUCUGUGCCAGCAGCAGCGGUAAUACAGAGCCCUCGAGCGUUAUCCGGUUUCGUUGGGCGUAAAGCGUCCGCAGGUGGUUUGAAAAGUUCGUUGUUAAAUCUUGAGGCUUAACCUCAAGACUGCAACCAAAACUUUCAAACUUGAGGUUGGGAGAGGUAAGCGGAACACACGGUGUAGUCGUAAUAAGCGCUGAUAUCGUGUGGAACACCAAAGGCGAAGGCAGCUUACUAGAACAAACCUGACACUCAUGGACGAAAGCGUGGGGAGCGAAUGGGAUUAGAUACCCCAGUAGUCCACGCCGUAAACGAUGUAUACUAGGUAUUGGAAGUAUCGACCCUUUCAGUGCCGUUCAAGAAAGCUAACGCGUUAAGUAUACCGCCUGGGUAGUACGGCCGCAAGGCUAAAACUCAAAGGAAUAGACGGGGACCCGCACAAGCGGUGGAUCAUGUGGUUUAAUUCGACGGUACGCGAGUAACCUUACCAAGGCUUGACAUAUAACUGCAAGCUUCCCGAAAGGGAGGCCCCCUUCGAGGGUGUUAUACAGGUGCUGCAUGGUUGCCGUCAGCUCGUGCCGUGAGGUGUACCCUUAAGUGGGGUAACGAGCGCAACCCUCGUUCUGUGUUAAAUGUACACAGAAGACUGCCGGCGUAAGCCGGAGGAAGGUGGGGACGACGUCAAAUCAGCAUGGCUCUUACGUCUUGGGCUACACACAUGAUACAAUGGUCGGUACAGAGGGUCGCAAAGUCGCGAGACUAAGCUAAUCCCAGAAAGCCGGCCUAAGUUCGGAUUGGAGGCUGCAACUCGCCUCCAUGAAGUUGGAAUCGCUAGUAACCGCGCAUCAUCACGACGCGGUGAAUACGUUCUCGGGUCUUGUACUCACCGCCCGUCAUACCACGAAAGUUGGCAAUGCCCGAAGCUUCUUUAUUUAAUAAAGGGAGUGAAGGCAGGGUUAGUAAUCAGGGUAAAGUCGUAACAAGGCAUCCGUAGCGGAAGCUGUGGAUGGAUCACCUCCUUUCU
RNAcentral lists this ribosomal RNA (1157 nucleotides) under Candidatus Magasanikbacteria bacterium CG_4_9_14_3_um_filter_32_9. RNAcentral's name for it is "bacterial SSU rRNA". It matches the Rfam family "Bacterial small subunit ribosomal RNA", at positions 346 to 1533 of the family's 1533-position model. Lineage: Bacteria; Candidatus Magasanikiibacteriota. The record is from RNAcentral.